This 253-nucleotide ribosomal RNA is filed under the name uncultured bacterium. RNAcentral describes it as "partial 16S ribosomal RNA". It matches the Rfam family "Bacterial small subunit ribosomal RNA", at positions 524 to 776 of the family's 1533-position model. The record is from RNAcentral.
UACGAAGGGGGCUAGCGUUGCUCGGAAUCACUGGGCGUAAAGCGCACGUAGGCGGCUUUCUAAGUCAGGGGUGAAAUCCUGGAGCUCAACUCCAGAACUGCCUUUGAUACUGGAGAGCUAGAGUCCGGAAGAGGUGAGUGGAACUGCGAGUGUAGAGGUGAAAUUCGUAGAUAUUCGGAGGAACACCAGUGGCGAAGGCGGCUCACUGGUCCAUUACUGACGCUGAGGUGCGAAAGCGUGGGGAGCAAACAGG